Non-coding RNA from Pelecanus crispus (Dalmatian pelican), 561 nucleotides. Lineage: Eukaryota; Metazoa; Chordata; Aves; Pelecaniformes; Pelecanidae. The record is from the annotation of a RefSeq genome assembly.
AUGAAGAAAGAAUUAUUUAUUGGACUAAGUAUUAGCAGUGUGAGGACAGAUAAGCUUACAUUUGGAAGUGGGACCACUCUUACAGUUGAACCAAACAAUCAAAACACUUCUGUCCCAGAAGUCAUUGUGAUGAAAUCAAAGAAACUGGAAGAAGAUGGCAACAUUGGGAAAGCAGCUUGUUUGGCAAGAAAUUCCUAUACAAAGAAAAUCAGCUUGCAGAUGUCCUCUGAUGACGUUGUAUAUGAUCAGAGUACACCCGUUUUGACAUCAGAGGGGUUGUACGAUACUAUUAAGGUGGUGAAUGUGACAAAAGGCACAGAGGUGACCUGCACGGUCACAUUCGAUGGCAAAACUAUUACAGCCAACACAACAUUGCCAGAAAAGGAGGCUGAAGAACCACCCAAACCAGGGAAGGUUUGCAACACCACAGACACCUCUGCGCAAGAUACCAAAGUGGAAAAAGCGAACAUGCUGUCUAUGGCUGUGUUGGGUUUGAGAGUCCUGCUGGCAAAAAGUAUCGCCUUCAAUACACUCAUGAGUAUCAAGUUGUUUCUUUUUUGA